Molecule: ribosomal RNA, 327 nt
Filed under: uncultured eukaryote
Lineage: Eukaryota
Description: partial 18S ribosomal RNA
Rfam family: Eukaryotic small subunit ribosomal RNA
Source: RNAcentral
CCCUUAGAUGUUCUGGGCCGCACGCGCGCUACACUGACGAAUGCAACGAGCUUAUAACCUUGGCCGAAAGGUCUGGGUAAUCUCCAAAUUUCGUCGUGAUGGGGAUAGAUUAUUGCAAUUAUUAAUCUUCAACGAGGAAUGCCUAGUAAGCGCAAGUCAUCAGCUUGCGUUGAUUACGUCCCUGCCCUUUGUACACACCGCCCGUCGCUCCUACCGAUUGAAUGGUCCGGUGAAGCGUUCGGACCGUGGCCUUUGGACGGUUCGCCGUCUGUUGGCUGCAGGAAGUUCGUUAAACCUUAUCAUUUAGAGGAAGGAGAAGUCGUAACA